AUGUCUUUUGCACAGCUCUGUGGUGCCGCCUUGGGGGCGGCAGAUUAUCUCGCUUUGGUAAGAGAGGCCAAGGUUCUGAUGCUUGAUGAUAUCCCA
Molecule: transfer RNA, 96 nt
Filed under: Rhodobacteraceae bacterium LE17
Lineage: Bacteria; Pseudomonadati; Pseudomonadota; Alphaproteobacteria; Rhodobacterales; Paracoccaceae
Description: tRNA-Pro
Source: RNAcentral